GACAGAGGGUGCAAACGUUGUUCGGAAUUACUGGGCGUAAAGCGCGUGUAGGCGGCCAACUAAGUCGGGCGUGAAAUCCCACGGCUCAACCGUGGAAGUGCACUCGAAACUGGAUGGCUAGAGUCCUGGAGAGGAAGGUGGAAUGCUUGGUGUAGAGGUGAAAUUCGUAGAUAUCAAGCGGAACACCGGUGGCGAAGGCGGCCUUCUGGACAGUGACGUGACGCUGAG
Molecule: ribosomal RNA, 228 nt
Filed under: uncultured bacterium
Lineage: Bacteria
Description: partial 16S ribosomal RNA
Rfam family: Bacterial small subunit ribosomal RNA
Source: RNAcentral